UUCCCUCAGUAACUGCGAGUGAAGUGGGAAAAGCUCAAAUUUGAAAUCUGGCAGUCCUAAAAACUGUCCGAAUUGUAAUCUAAAGAAGUGUUAUCUGUGCUGGACCAUGUAAAAGUCUUCUGGAAUGGAGCAUCAUAGAGGGUGAGAAUCCCGUCUUUGACAUGGACUACCAGUAUGUUAUGAUACACUCUCAAAGAGUCGAGUUGUUUGGGAAUGCAGCUCAAAAUGGGUGGUAAAUGCCAUCUAAAGCUAAAUAUUGGCGAGAGACCGAUAGCGAACAAGUACCGUGAGGGAAAGAUGAAAAGAACUUUGGAAAGAGAGUUAAACAGUACGUGAAAUUGCUGAAAGGGAAACGCUUGAAGUCAGUCAUGUCAGCUAGAAAUCAAGCUUGCUUCUGCAAGGUGUACUUUCUAGUUGAUAGGUCAGCAUCAAUUUUGACUGUUGGAUAAAGUCAAUGGGAAUGUGGCAUCUUUGGAUGUGUUAUAGCCCAUUGUUGGAUACGACGGUCAGGAUUGAGGAACUCAGCAUGCCCCUUGGGGCCAGGUUUCGACCAUGUUCAUGCUUAGGAUGCUGGCGUAAUGGCUUUAAUCGACCCGUCUUGAAACACGGACCAAGGAGUCUAACAUGCCUGCGAGUGUUUGGGUGAAAAACCCAUGCGCGCAAUGAAAGUGAAAGUUGAGAUCCUUAGGGAGCAUUGACGCCCGGACCAGACCUUCUGUGACGGAUCCGCGGUAGAGCAUGUAUGUUGGGACCCGAAAGAUGGUGAACUAUGCCUGAAUAGGGUGAAGCCAGAGGAAACUCUGGUGGAGGCUCGUAGCGAUUCUGACGUGCAAAUCGAUCGUCAAAUUUGGGUAUAGGGGCGAAAGACU
RNAcentral lists this ribosomal RNA (869 nucleotides) under Inocybe sp. 6 TM03_459. RNAcentral describes it as "eukaryotic LSU rRNA". It matches the Rfam family "Eukaryotic large subunit ribosomal RNA", at positions 75 to 932 of the family's 3401-position model. Lineage: Eukaryota; Fungi; Basidiomycota; Agaricomycetes; Agaricales; Inocybaceae. The record is from RNAcentral.